Molecule: ribosomal RNA, 433 nt
Filed under: uncultured bacterium
Lineage: Bacteria
Description: partial 16S ribosomal RNA
Rfam family: Bacterial small subunit ribosomal RNA
Source: RNAcentral
AACGAACGCUGGUGGCAUGCCUAACACAUGCAAGUCGAACGAGACCUUCGGGUCUAGUGGCGCACGGGUGCGUAACGCGUGGGAACCUGCCCUUAGGUUCGGAAUAACUCCCCGAAAGGGGUGCUAAUACCGGACAAUGUCUUCGGACCAAAGAUUUAUCGCCUUUGGAUGGGCCCGCGUUGGAUUAGCUAGUUGGUAGGGUAAAAGCCUACCAAGGCGACGAUCCAUAGCUGGUCUGAGAGGAUGAUCAGCCACACUGGGACUGAGACACGGCCCAGACUCCUACGGGAGGCAGCAGUGGGGAAUAUUGGACAAUGGGCGAAAGCCUGAUCCAGCAAUGCCGCGUGAGUGAUGAAGGCCUUAGGGUUGUAAAGCUCUUUUACCCGGGAUGAUAAUGACAGUACCGGGAGAAUAAGCUCCGGCUAACUCCGUG